Molecule: ribosomal RNA, 473 nt
Filed under: uncultured organism
Description: partial 16S ribosomal RNA
Rfam family: Bacterial small subunit ribosomal RNA
Source: RNAcentral
ACACUCCUACGGGAGGCAGCAGUGGGGAAUUUUGGACAAUGGGCGAAAGCCUGAUCCAGCAAUGCCGCGUGAGUGAAGAAGGCCUUCGGGUUGUAAAGCUCUUUUGUCAGGGAAGAAACGGUGAGAGCUAAUAUCUCUUGCUAAUGACGGUACCUGAAGAAUAAGCACCGGCUAACUACGUGCCAGCAGCCGCGGUAAUACGUAGGGUGCAAGCGUUAAUCGGAAUUACUGGGCGUAAAGCGUGCGCAGGCGGUUUUGUAAGUCUGAUGUGAAAUCCCCGGGCUCAACCUGGGAAUUGCAUUGGAGACUGCAAGGCUAGAAUCUGGCAGAGGGGGGUAGAAUUCCACGUGUAGCAGUGAAAUGCGUAGAUAUGUGGAGGAACACCGAUGGCGAAGGCAGCCCCCUGGGUCAAGAUUGACGCUCAUGCACGAAAGCGUGGGGAGCAAACAGGAUUAGAUACCCGGGUAGUCCCA